Canis lupus familiaris (dog) is the source of this 1677-nucleotide long non-coding RNA. RefSeq lists it as uncharacterized. The transcript is spliced from 3 exons. Lineage: Eukaryota; Metazoa; Chordata; Mammalia; Carnivora; Canidae. The record is from RefSeq and is a predicted model, not a curated record.
CAGAACGGGGAGGACAUGGCAGGGGUCCUCAGCCAGUGGUGUUCCCUAAAAGGGGCAGGGGUCCUGGCUGGACUUGGAAGUAGGAGUGGGACUUCCAUCAGUAGCCACGUGGGGGCUUGUGUUGCAAGACGGCAGCAAAGCCUUCCUCCCUCAGUGUCCCCCUUGCCCACCCUGGUCUUACUCCCCCAUGGAGCGUGGGGCGUGGGGCACAGAGCCUCUCACCCCAGAGGCCCCAGGCAGAAGGACGCCGUGUCCUUCAGGCACACCCGAAGCACACACCCCUGCAGGUGCUUGGCUGUGUCUAGCCGCUCCCCUCCGAGCACAGGAAUGAGAGAGAGCAAAAGGCUGUUUCAGUCAUGAUGUUUUCUAAAAAUAAGGAAUUGAUCUUGCCAUCUGUUCAAAAAACAAGGCAGAACUUGUCCCGGAAAGACAGUGAGUAAUGUCCACCGUUAGGCCACCGAGGCUCACAAGCACAAGACUCCGGAAGCCCUUCGAAAAUCUUACAGCCAUCUCAAGACAGGCGAGGAGCUGAGGCCCAAACCAUUCCAGCCACACAGAGCUCUACCAAGCUUUAUUAGGGUCUGGCUCUGUAUUUUCAUUUCAGAAAGAAAUGGCCCUGUUUUAUCAGAUGUCUAAGAAACCACGAGGCUGGCCCACCAUGCUAAUGCCCCCAAGGUCCCCGGCCCUCUUUGUGAUUGUCCUGGAGCCCUCUGGGUCAGCUCCUGAUGUGCAGCUGACAUGAGCAAACCCCCUCCCCAGCCCAGCCACUGUGUAUGGGAAGAGGUGUUUGGGUACAGGGUGGAGCCACACUCACUUGGAGCAUAAGCUACAGAGGCAAACAACCCUGCCUGAAGGGCUUCUGGGAGGAGGUGACCUUUGGGCAAGACUUCAAAGGAUUAACAGGGAUCUGUCAGGCAAAAAAACAGGAGAUGCCAAUUCAAAGCAGGGAAGAUAUUGUAAGGGCUUGAGGUAAUACAAAGGCACCAUUGUUCAGGGCUCACUGAGCACCAGGGGACCACAGUGUGAGAGGGCAGAGGAGGAGGAAGAUGCAUGGGGAGAGCACGACAAAGGCCCUGGCAGUGUUUCUCCUCCCACCCCCGUUGGCUCCUUUUUCUUCCCAAAUCAAGCCUCUGUGAGGCUCUGAGCUUCCCCUGCUCUGAACGGGCCGUGGCACCUGUGUCAGCUUGGAUCCCCAAGCCCUGCUUAUCCAGGACCCUGGGCCGCCACCCGGGAGGUGUUCCCUUGACCUCCUGUCCACGCAGUUCUCACUCGCUCUGACCAGCUCAUAGCUUCUCCUCGGGUUUCAUUGCUUGUGUGCUCGGCUGCAUCACCACCCAACAGGCACACAUCCCAUCAUGCCAUGUCAUCAGUGCUGCCACCAUGUCACCCUGUUAGCCCAUCUCCCAUAGUAGAUGGCACUUCUUGAGAGCUGGAGCCCUGGCACGCCAGCACCUCUGCACACCAGCCUAGAACUCAAGUGCGAACUCAAGGCAGGCUCUGUAAAGACACCCUGAUGGAUUCUGCUUCUGCACCAGCUUGACCUCAGACCACCCCAGUAAUAAAAAGUGCUCCUUACAUAUGAAAUCAGGUCUCCUUAGUCUUGGGAUUUCACUGUCCACCAGGAAAAAAACAAAAAACAGAAAACAUCAUAUUUGCUUGGUUCACUGGUGAAAAUAC